UACGUAGGUGGCGAGCGUUAUCCGGAAUUACUGGGUGUAAAGGGUGUGUAGGCGGGGAUGCAAGUCAGAUGUGAAAUCCAUGGGCUCAACCUAUGGUGUGCAUUUGAAACUGCGUUUCUUGAGUGUGGGAGAGGUAAGCGGAAUUCCUAGUGUAGCGGUGAAAUGCGUAGAUAUUAGGAGGAACACCAGUGGCGAAGGCGGCUUACUGGACCACAACUGACGCUGAGACACGAAAGCGUGGGGAGCAAACAGG
Molecule: ribosomal RNA, 253 nt
Filed under: uncultured bacterium
Lineage: Bacteria
Also listed under: 1 other name
Description: partial 16S ribosomal RNA
Rfam family: Bacterial small subunit ribosomal RNA
Source: RNAcentral